CGAACGGGUGAGUAACGCGUGAGGAACCUGCCUCAAAGAGGGGGACAACAGUUGGAAACGACUGCUAAUACCGCAUAAGCCCACGGUGCCGCAUGGCACAGAGGGAAAAGGAGCAAUCCGCUUUGAGAUGGCCUCGCGUCCGAUUAGCUAGUUGGUGAGGUAACGGCCCACCAAGGCGACGAUCAGUAGCCGACCUGAGAGGGUGACCGGCCACAUUGGGACUGAGACACGGCCCAAACUCCUACGGGAGGCAGCAUGC
Molecule: ribosomal RNA, 259 nt
Filed under: uncultured bacterium
Lineage: Bacteria
Description: partial 16S ribosomal RNA
Rfam family: Bacterial small subunit ribosomal RNA
Source: RNAcentral